Molecule: unclassified non-coding RNA, 547 nt
Filed under: Hevea brasiliensis (rubber tree)
Lineage: Eukaryota; Viridiplantae; Streptophyta; Magnoliopsida; Malpighiales; Euphorbiaceae
Source: RNAcentral
GCCUGGAUGGCCAAUUCUAUUGUAAAUUAACACUUCUAAUUCACCUUGAGAAAAGACCCUUUACAAUUAACUAGUGUUACGAGGAUAAACUACUCAAAUACACCCAACUUCAAUACAGCUCAAUUCAACCACGACAAAUGAGAACAAUUUGCUAGAAAUACAAAGCAAUGUGGUUGGUGUCAGCUACCUGAUAGCUUUGCUUGUGCCUGUUGUCAAAUUAUUAUUUUCUCCCUCGGCAAAUAUUAAAAAUUGCGGAUACUUACAGCAUACCUUAAGACUACAUGCCACUUACGUAUUUUCUAUCUACCCAAUUCAAAAUUCUUCUACUUAAUUGUGAUGUAGCGAUUAGUCCCAUGCUUGGCCCAGUGUUCCUUGAGAUCAACUGGAUUUGAGAGGUCGUAGCCUUCAGCAGCAAGCCUACUAAGUAGUUUGCUGAAGGCGCUUCCACUCAUCUUUCUUCCACCUACACGGGCAUGCCGCUUAUUUGGAACAGCAGGUAAUGGAUACACGGAUAGAGUGGUUGUGCAACAUGAAGACUGCCAUCCAC